Molecule: ribosomal RNA, 253 nt
Filed under: uncultured bacterium
Lineage: Bacteria
Description: partial 16S ribosomal RNA
Rfam family: Bacterial small subunit ribosomal RNA
Source: RNAcentral
UACGUAGGGGGCCAGCGUUGCUCGGAAUUACUGGGCGUAAAGGGUCCGUAGGCGGUGUAGCAAGUCGAUAGUGAAAUCUCUGGGCUUAACCCAGAGGCUGCUAACGAAACUGCUGUGCUAGAGUGUGAGAGAGGCGAGUGGAAUUACGGGUGUAGCGGUGAAAGGCGUAGAUAUGCGGAGGAACAUCCGAGGCGAAGGCAGCUCGCGGGAUCACAACUGACGCUGAGGGACGAAAGCGAGGGGAGCAAACAGG